Theobroma cacao (cacao) is the source of this 1245-nucleotide non-coding RNA. The record is from RefSeq and is a predicted model, not a curated record. NCBI's taxonomy places the organism in Eukaryota, Viridiplantae, Streptophyta, Magnoliopsida, Malvales, Malvaceae.
AGAGCAUAUUUCUCAAUAAAUUCUUUUGACAUCCUCAGAAAUUCUUGCGCCGCCUUCCCCUUUUCUUCUCCUUUCAUCAUGGUAUCGGAGCAGGGGAGAUAGGACACCAGUCAAGGUCAAGCUCAAAUCAAGGGAGAGUUGUUAACUUCAUCUCAAGCCAUUAGUAAGUCUAUUGAUCUAGUUUUUCACUCGACAUAAUACUUCAUCCCUAUCAUCAUAUUUUUUUAAAUUAAAGUUUUAUUCAGCCAUUGCCAAAAAAAUGCCACACCAAGUCUUUAGCUUGUUUUGCAGAGGACUUUGUUUGGCAUGAAGGAAUUGGCAUGGGAAAGGAACCUGUACAUUUACAAAAUCACGACACUGCUCAAAAAAGAUUGGCAGGAACCAGGACUCUAAAGCUUCAUGAUCCUACAUCUAAAGCCAACGAGCAGAUCAUCACAAAAAGGUGUCAUUCGUAACACUCAUCACCAAGUGUGGAACGGAGACCUAACCAAAAACAUGUCCAUUCAGAAAUCCAGGCCAGAUGAAGGAGCAAAACAGAAAAAUCAUACAGAAAGCGGAGGAACAUCCAACCACCAAAAACAAAGGUCAAACCGAUGGCCAGAACCAAGGAAUCCAGAAGCCGAGAACGCCCACUGAACCUGGGUAAAGGAAGCUCCUUGUCACACAGUAAGAGCACCAGGGUCACGGAGGGCACUGUUAAUGCCGACCUCACUGUUCAUCCCGAUAAUCAUACUUGGGUUCCAUUGUGUUUGAUAGCUGAAAAUGUCUAAAUCACCUUAAUCUAGAUUACAAAGCACUACACCAGACUCACAAAUCUCACCUGUUGUGAUUUGAUCAAACACGUGAGAAACUUCGGGAAGUGACGUUUCAUAGGUGUGCGGCGUCUGUUGUGCCUCAAGUUUGGGGCGUGACAAAGGCUAGAUUUAAUCAAGGUUAAAUGAAUAACAAAGGCAGCAAGAGCUUGAAAGAAGAACGGUACGUAGAAAGGAGUUUCUAAGUGUGAAAGAAGAAAGCAGGACAGCAGGCGCUCUAUGCGCACCGUUUAACUAAAGGCUAGGAGAUUAGCUCUCACAAGUGAAACUCACUGUUUCACUAAUAAGCCUUUUAAAAGUUAGUUAGGACCGUUAGUUGUACAGAAUUAGUAAAGUUAAUUUUUCUCUCUCUUCAAUUAUUCAUGGCCCUAUGGGUAUAAGACCAUGUACAAAGCAUAUUUCUGAAUCAAUUCUUUUGACAUUCUCAACAAUU